GAUGAAGAACGCAGCGAAAUGCGAUAAGUAAUGUGAAUUGCAGAAUUCAGUGAAUCAUCGAAUCUUUGAACGCACAUUGCGCCCGCCAGUAUUCUGGCGGGCAUGCCUGUUCGAGCGUCAUUACAACCCUCAGGCCCCCGGGCCUGGCGUUGGGGAUCGGCGGAGCCCCCCGUGGGCACACGCCGUCCCCCAAAUACAGUGGCGGUCCCGCCGCAGCUUCCAUCGCGUAGUAGCUAACACCUCGCGACUGGAGAGCGGCGCGGCCAUGCCGUAAAACACCCAACUCUUCUGAAGUUGACCUCGAAUCAGGUAGGAAUACCCGCUGAACUUAAGCAUAUCAAUAAGCGGAGGA
Molecule: unclassified non-coding RNA, 352 nt
Filed under: soil metagenome
Description: partial contains 5.8S ribosomal RNA, internal transcribed spacer 2, and large subunit ribosomal RNA
Rfam family: 5.8S ribosomal RNA (bases 1-120)
Source: RNAcentral